AGUACGUGGUGCGAGCAACAUUGGAGUGAGUCUUUGUACCUCUCCAAGCAUCAUACAUGCACUCAUCAUCGAACUGCACAAAAGAAGAUAUAUCAUUUCUCAAUCU
This 106-nucleotide small nucleolar RNA is filed under the name Ricinus communis (castor bean). Its description in RNAcentral is "Plant small nucleolar RNA R71". It matches the Rfam family "Plant small nucleolar RNA R71". Rfam says of the family: R71 is a member of the C/D box family of snoRNAs containing the C (UGAUGA) and D (CUGA) box motifs. The record is from Rfam by way of RNAcentral. Lineage: Eukaryota; Viridiplantae; Streptophyta; Magnoliopsida; Malpighiales; Euphorbiaceae.